Molecule: long non-coding RNA, 553 nt
Organism: Stegostoma tigrinum
Lineage: Eukaryota; Metazoa; Chordata; Chondrichthyes; Orectolobiformes; Stegostomatidae
Exons: 3
Source: RefSeq, a predicted model, not a curated record
CACUACUUCUGAAAUGAGAACGUGUGUUGGCUACUACAUGAUUCCAUCGAUAAGUGGAGGAGUAUGCGUCAACAUCACAUGAUCGUUUUGUGGACUUUGUCCUGAGCAUGAGCAAUGUUAGCGCCAUGUGAUCAUUCCGUGGACUUUAUUGUGAAGCGCCAUCAAGCCACCUUGACAUUUUUGCAAGGGAGUGUAAUCCAAAUUCACUCAGCCUCUAGACUUAGGGGAGGCCUUUUAUCCCAGGGACCAAUCUAAUAAAGCUUUGCUAUACCAUCUCCAAGGUGGGCAAUAUACAGAAAAGACAAACAUGGUCUUUCAGAAUGGCAACUCUCAGCCUGGUCUCUCGGCAGCUCGUGGCAGGUCCCGAUCUAGUCUUUCGGUAGCUGAUGGAGGGUCCCAGCCAGUUUUUCAGCAUCUCUCAGCCUGGUCUCUUGGCAGUACGUCGGGCCUGUCUCUCAGCAACUCAUGGCGGGGUCUCAGCAUGGAGUGUGAGUGGAUCCUGCCUGGAUAUGUUCCCGAAGCACUAGGGGAGGUCGGAGAAGCAGCAGUUUCA